This 245-nucleotide ribosomal RNA is filed under the name uncultured bacterium. RNAcentral describes it as "partial 16S ribosomal RNA". It matches the Rfam family "Bacterial small subunit ribosomal RNA", at positions 524 to 769 of the family's 1533-position model. The record is from RNAcentral.
UACGUAGGGGGCGAGCGUUAUCCGGAAUUACUGGGCGUAAAGCGUACGUAGGCGGUUAUUUAAGCGCAGGGUUUAAAGCAAUGGCCCAACCAUUGUUCGCCCUGCGAACUGGACAACUUGAGUACAGGAGGGGAAAGCGGAAUUCCUAGUGUAGCGGUGAAAUGCGUAGAUAUUAGGAGGAACACCGGUGGCGAAGGCGGCUUUCUGGACUGAAACUGACGCUGAGGUACGAAAGUGUGGGGAGC